Molecule: unclassified non-coding RNA, 233 nt
Filed under: fungal sp.
Lineage: Eukaryota; Fungi
Description: partial internal transcribed spacer region
Rfam family: Eukaryotic small subunit ribosomal RNA (bases 1-46)
Source: RNAcentral
AAGUCGUAACAAGGUUUCCGUAGGUGAACCUGCGGAAGGAUCAUUACAAGAAACGAGGCCGCGUGCGCUCGCCCGCCCGGCCCCGCUCCUUACCUUGCCUACUGCACCGUUUGUUGCUUCCUGGCGGCGGACUGCCCGCCGCCAGGGACGUUGAUACAACCCUGUAUAGAAGCAUUGAAGCUCUGAGAAAACGCGAAAUCAUACAACUUUCAACAAUGGAUCUCUUGGUUCUG